UACGUAGGGUCCGAGCGUUGUCCGGAAUUAUUGGGCGGAAAGAGCUCGUAGGCGGUUUGUCGCGUCUGCUGUGAAAUCCCGAGGCUCAACCUCGGGCCUGCAGUGGGUACGGGCAGACUGGAGUGCGGUAGGGGAGAAUGGAAUUCCUGGUGUAGCGGUGGAAUGCGCAGAUAUCAGGAGGAACACCGAUGGCGAAGGCAGUUCUCUGGGCCGUAACUGACGCUGAGGAGCGAAAGCGUGGGGAGCAAACAGG
RNAcentral lists this ribosomal RNA (253 nucleotides) under uncultured bacterium. RNAcentral's name for it is "partial 16S ribosomal RNA". It matches the Rfam family "Bacterial small subunit ribosomal RNA", at positions 524 to 776 of the family's 1533-position model. The record is from RNAcentral.